UACGUAGGGCGCAAGCGUUGUCCGGAAUUAUUGGGCGUAAAGAGCUCGUAGGCGGCUUGUCACGUCGGGUGUGAAAGCCCGGGGCUUAACCCCGGGUCUGCAUUCGAUACUGGCAGGCUAGAGUGUGGUAGGGGAGAUCGGAAUUCCUGGUGUAGCGGUGAAAUGCGCAGAUAUCAGGAGGAACACCGGUGGCGAAGGCGGAUCUCUGGGCCAUUACUGACGCUGAGGAGCGAAAGCGUGGGGAGCGAACAGG
RNAcentral lists this ribosomal RNA (253 nucleotides) under uncultured bacterium. RNAcentral describes it as "partial 16S ribosomal RNA". It matches the Rfam family "Bacterial small subunit ribosomal RNA", at positions 524 to 776 of the family's 1533-position model. The record is from RNAcentral.